GGGUCAGUAGGUUGGUCGUGCCACCGGUACGUACUGGUCUCACUGAUUCCUCCUUCCUGAAGAACCGUAAUGCCAUUAAUUUGGUGUUGCGGGGAAACAGGACUGUUACUUUGAAAAAAUUAGAGUGUUUAAAGCAAGCUAACGCUUGGAUACGUUAGCAUGGAAUAAUGAAAUAGGACGAUCGAUCCUAUUUUGUUGGUUUCUAGGAUUGACGUA
This 216-nucleotide ribosomal RNA is filed under the name Glomeromycotina sp. RNAcentral describes it as "partial small subunit ribosomal RNA". The stretch from base 40 to 216 matches the Rfam family "Eukaryotic small subunit ribosomal RNA", at positions 686 to 864 of the family's 1831-position model. The record is from RNAcentral. Lineage: Eukaryota; Fungi; Glomeromycota.